AGACAAGUAGCAAACGUGGUGAAUGCGCCCCGCUGAAAACGGGAAGAUUGUGGUUCGACUCCACACUUGUCUG
Molecule: transfer RNA, 73 nt
Filed under: Bacteroidota bacterium
Lineage: Bacteria; Pseudomonadati; Bacteroidota
Description: Bacteroidetes bacterium (activated sludge metagenome) tRNA-Phe
Rfam family: tRNA
About the family: Transfer RNA (tRNA) molecules are approximately 80 nucleotides in length. Their secondary structure includes four short double-helical elements and three loops (D, anti-codon, and T loops).
Source: RNAcentral